RNAcentral lists this long non-coding RNA (236 nucleotides) under Carica papaya (papaya). Its description in RNAcentral is "long non-coding RNA (CPAP_LNC008388)". Lineage: Eukaryota; Viridiplantae; Streptophyta; Magnoliopsida; Brassicales; Caricaceae. The record is from RNAcentral.
AGGACGCACUAAAUGACAGAGACACUGACGCGGGAGGCCACGCGGGGGGACCACGAGGGCGAUCCGCGUCUCCGCGAUCGACGGCUGAGGUCCAUUCCCGCACGCAUGGACAGCCUGGAUGCGCUCCCUCCCAAACGCAAUCAAACGACAAUAUUCAAACAUGAUCAGACGGCAAAGAGUAAAUCACGAUAGACCGUCCAGAUUGGAUCGCGAUGAACGGUCCAGAUUCACUUCUU